This 963-nucleotide long non-coding RNA is filed under the name Panax ginseng (ginseng). RNAcentral describes it as "long non-coding RNA (PGIN_LNC016660)". Lineage: Eukaryota; Viridiplantae; Streptophyta; Magnoliopsida; Apiales; Araliaceae. The record is from RNAcentral.
UCAAGACAAAAAAAACAAAUUAUUUCUUAUCUCCCUCUUUACACCAUAGCGCGACAAUCAAUCCCACAAAAUUUUCUUCUUCCAAUUUUAGAACUUCAAAUUGGAGAGAAAAUUAGGCAUAAUCUAUUUGAAUAUGAACAAUAAUUAAGCAAAAUAAAGAAAUCAAUUACAUUUUUGACAUCUGUUUAGCGCGCAGGAAAUUGGUCGAAGAAGCUGAACAUGAGGGUGCUUGAAUGGCAGAUGAUGAUGAUUGAUGAGGUUCUCGAUAAUAAGAAGAGCAGACGCCGAUUAAGGUUUCAGAAGUGACGUCAGCGAAUAUAUAAAGAAGAUGAUCUGAAGAAGCGAUGCCGCGAAUGUCUGAUUUGCACCGAAAGUGUAAAAAAAGUUCAUCUCCUUUUUAAGAACAUAUGUGAGACCAAAAAUGAAAUUUGCACAAAAAAAUAACAAAUAAAAGAUAAAAAUGAAAUCCCCUGCUCAUCAACCAAGAAAGAAAUCAAAACCAUUAGUUGAAGCUAUCAUCUUCUUCUCAAUAAUUGUAACCUAGAUCAUCAACUCAUUAGCAUAUUUCAUACCCAAACACACACCGAAUCCAAUUAAAACAAAUCUCAACCCUAAACACCAUAGAACCCAUAAGCACAACUCAAUAUCUCGGCGAGAACGAAUAACUCUUUGAUCAUGGUGUCGAUCUCUCAUCGUUGCGCUACAGAUCUGGACAUUUGGGACUCUAUUCUUCACUUUUCUUUUAAUUUCAGCGAAUUAGCGACAUGAUUUUUUGUAUUUGCUACUGAUGGUUGGUAGUUUGAUCUUGCGAUGAGUUUGAACAAUUGAAGGAUUUGGGAGAAGAAAAGAUUAAGAUUUAGAUUUGAUGCUUCAUCUAUUUGGGGUUUUUUUUAGUUUAGGAUAAUCUUUUUGUUGUUAAUCAGAUUCAUGUUUUUCAAAAAUUGUUCAAAGUCUAUUUAAUUU